AAUGUACUCAGGUGAAUAUGAUGCUUGUGAUGUUACUCUGAGUGUAUAUAGUAAGAUCAGAGUAACAUCACAAGCAUCAUAUUCACCCGAG
Paramuricea clavata is the source of this 91-nucleotide non-coding RNA. The record is from the annotation of a GenBank genome assembly. NCBI's taxonomy places the organism in Eukaryota, Metazoa, Cnidaria, Anthozoa, Malacalcyonacea, Plexauridae.